UGCCAGCCGCCGCGGUAAUACGUAGGGAGCGAGCGUUAUCCGGAAUUAUUGGGCGUAAAGUGUGCGUAGGCGGUUUAUUAAGUCAAAUUUGAAAGCCCACAGCUUAACUGUGGAGGGUGAUUUGAAACUGGUAAACUUGAGUACGGCAGAGGUUAGUGGAAUUCAAUGUGUAGCGGUGGAAUGCGUAGAUAUAUUGAGGAACACCAGUGGCGAAGGCGGCUAACUGGACCGGAACUGACGCUGAGGCGCGCAAGCGUGGGGAGCAAACAGGAUUAGAUA
This 279-nucleotide ribosomal RNA is filed under the name uncultured bacterium. RNAcentral's name for it is "partial 16S ribosomal RNA". It matches the Rfam family "Bacterial small subunit ribosomal RNA", at positions 506 to 784 of the family's 1533-position model. The record is from RNAcentral.